RNAcentral lists this ribosomal RNA (805 nucleotides) under uncultured Weissella sp. RNAcentral's name for it is "bacterial SSU rRNA". It matches the Rfam family "Bacterial small subunit ribosomal RNA", at positions 28 to 787 of the family's 1533-position model. Lineage: Bacteria; Bacillati; Bacillota; Bacilli; Lactobacillales; Lactobacillaceae. The record is from RNAcentral.
GAUGAACGCUGGCGGCGUGCCUAAUACAUGCAAGUCGAACGCAUUGUGGUUGAAAUGAUGUGAAGAACUUGUUCAGAUUUGAUUUUCAACAUUGCAAUGAGUGGCGAACGGGUGAGUAACACGUGGGAAACCUACCUCUUAGCAGGGGAUAACAUUUGGAAACAAAUGCUAAUACCGUAUAAUAAUUAAAACCGCAUGGUUUUAGUUUAAAAGAUGGUCUUGCUAUCACUAAGAGAUGGUCCCGCGGUGUAUUAGUUAGUUGGUGAGGUAAUGGCUCACCAAGACAAUGAUACAUAGCCGAGUUGAGAGACUGACCGGCCACAAUGGGACUGAGACACGGCCCAUGCUCCUACGGGAGGCAGCAGUAGGGAAUCUUCCACAAUGGACGAAAGUCUGAUGGAGCAACGCCGCGUGUGUGAUGAAGGGUUUCGGCUCGUAAAACACUGUUGUAAGAGAAGAAUGACAUUGAGAGUAACUGUUCAAUGUGUGACGGUAUCUUACCAGAAAGGAACGGCUAAAUACGUGCCAGCAGCCGCGGUAAUACGUAUGUUCCAAGCGUUAUCCGGAUUUAUUGGGCGUAAAGCGAGCGCAGACGGUUAUUUAAGUCUGAAGUGAAAGCCCUCGGCUCAACCGAGGAAUUGCUUUGGAAACUGGAUAACUUGAGUGCAGUAGAGGAAAGUGGAACUCCAUGUGUAGCGGUGAAAUGCGUAGAUAUAUGGAAGAACACCAGUGGCGAAAGCGGCUUUCUGGACUGUAACUGACGUUGAGGCUCGAAAGUGUGGGUAGCAAACAGGAUUAGAUACCC